UGUCCUUUAGUUUAGAAAGAAUGUUUGUUUUUGGUGCGAAAGGGUUGGGGGCAA
RNAcentral lists this transfer RNA (54 nucleotides) under Pingus sinensis. Its description in RNAcentral is "tRNA-Gln". The record is from RNAcentral. Lineage: Eukaryota; Metazoa; Nematoda; Chromadorea; Rhabditida; Quimperiidae.